AAAUAUUUUUAUUCAGAUCCUAGUCCCCGCCUUGCCUGUACCGCUGUCGGCCAGUGGGGAGGGGGGAAGGACUCCUCCUGAGAGGGCAAAGAGAGAGAAGAUGGCAUCCGGGCAGCCUUGCAGCUCUUCCCCAGCUCCAGCCGGAGGGCUCCGCUGCCUGGCCCGGUGAAGCUGUGCCUCUCGGGGAGGGACUGUGGCAGCAGCAACCGCAGGGGAGGAGGAGCCAGAGCUGGCACAGAGCUGUUCCUGCUUUGGGCGAGCGGAUCAUCAUCAGGGCAUCUCCGCGCCGAGGCGCUAGCCGUGCUGGCGAGGCUGCACAGGGACCUGCUCUCUCCCGCUGACCCCUGCCAUUCCCCAGUGCACGCGGGAGCUGGAGUUGUUGAGAGGUGGACUCCUGUUCCUUGGAAGCAUGAACUUAUUUCAUGUCAAUGAAAACAUCACUUGUGCAAAGCUGGAUGGAGACUGUCAUCGUCUUUCUGGUCUUCUCCCACGCCCAGAAUCACAAAAUUUAAGUGCUAAUAUCCUGAGGAAAAAGUGAACAGGAGCAGGGAGAACUACGGGUAGGUUGCUGUCUAACCCAGAAUGCUGGUACGUACUGUUCUGGUCAGUAGCUUGGUGUUGGUGGAUUCCUGGCCUCAGUGAAAAGACUGCCCUGGCAAAAUCUUGAAUUGAUAAAAGUAUCAAUUAUUUCACUGAAGAACUUUGAGACCACAACUAUUUGGUUUCGCUAACAGUAAUUAAAAGAUAGAAGUAGAAAAGUAAUGGGAUUUGAAUAAGUUAAUAUUUUAAACUUGAAAGAGAGCGAAACUAUUGUAUUAGAGCACGUUGAAACGAUUUGCCUGUAACUCUGUAGUCUUUCUCUAUGCCUUAGCCUUCUCGCAAACCACUUUCAUAUCAGAACUCAAACAAAACCACCCAGAUGUUACAGUAAACCCUGUCUUUGUUCAUGGCGUCAAUCCCUCCUAGAUAUCAAAUAUAUCUUUAAAAACUGAAAGGUUGAUAAUCGUGAGAACUGGCUCUCUGACUUGAUUCCAGCAAUUUAAGAAGGAAUGAAUUUCUUGGCUCAAAAGUUCUGGCCCGACUUGAGUGGUGUUUUUUAUGGCCAGAAUAAUGUACUAGACUUCCAAAAAAAGCUGUUCAUUUCCAGAUUGCUGAGGUGCAGAGAGCUUUGCUGAAGCAUGGUUGAUGGAGAAUGUCUGCACACCUUUGAUAUGACAGAGAUGCACACUAGUAAGCCUUGUCUUCGGAUAUGUGUAUGCAACUCUUACUGAUGCAGACUUGUGAAAACACAGUAAAUAUUCUCUCACUCAGAGCUGAUAUAUCUCUUGUUAGCAUCACGUGACCAGAAGAGGACCUAUUUGAUUAAGGGACAAGUAUAAUGACAAUUACCCACUUGAACUUGGAGCUUUCUUUCCCACUGCCCACAAGGUUC
This 1432-nucleotide long non-coding RNA is filed under the name Struthio camelus australis. RNAcentral's name for it is "lncRNA (ENSSCUG00000015209.1)". The record is from RNAcentral. Lineage: Eukaryota; Metazoa; Chordata; Aves; Struthioniformes; Struthionidae.